ACAACAUUAGGACCGUCGGUCUACCGAGAAAUUUCACCCUCUCGAUCUUCCCUUUGUCAU
RNAcentral lists this microRNA precursor (60 nucleotides) under Bombyx mori (domestic silkworm). RNAcentral describes it as "mir-2774 microRNA precursor family". It matches the Rfam family "mir-2774 microRNA precursor family". The record is from Rfam by way of RNAcentral. Lineage: Eukaryota; Metazoa; Arthropoda; Insecta; Lepidoptera; Bombycidae.